UACGUAGGGUGCAAAGCGUUUGUUCGGAUUUACUGGGCGUAAAGGGCGCGUAGGCGGUCGUGACAAGUCACUUGUGAAAUCUCCGGGCUUAACUCGGAACGGUCAAGUGAUACUGUCGGACUAGAGUACAGAAGGGGCAACUGGAAUUCUCGGUGUAGCGGUGAAAUGCGUAGAUAUCGAGAGGAACACCUGCGGCGAAGGCGGGUUGCUGGGCUGAUACUGACGCUGAGGCGCGAAAGCCAGGGGAGCGAACGGG
RNAcentral lists this ribosomal RNA (256 nucleotides) under uncultured bacterium. RNAcentral describes it as "partial 16S ribosomal RNA". It matches the Rfam family "Bacterial small subunit ribosomal RNA", at positions 524 to 776 of the family's 1533-position model. The record is from RNAcentral.